This 5481-nucleotide long non-coding RNA is filed under the name Mytilus galloprovincialis (Mediterranean mussel). The record is from RNAcentral. Lineage: Eukaryota; Metazoa; Mollusca; Bivalvia; Mytilida; Mytilidae.
UACAUGUAGACGUGUAAAUAACCACUUUCCCCAAUACACUGUUGUUUAUUUUUAAAAUCAGAAAAAGGACACUAUCGGAUAGUGAAGUUACAUAAGUCUUCCUUUGUUGUGUAUUCGCCUUUUCUUCGUCGAAACUACAAGGGCGUAUAUACUAAUCAUUGUAAUUACUUUUCAAUGAAAAUUUAAACACUUUCUCUCCUUUGAAACCGCAAAAUUGACAUCAUCAAGUUUGCUUGGGGAUAUUUUCUCUAGGAAUACAUUGUUUUGUGUAUUGUCAUAUUCAACAUCGAAAGAGAUCAAACUUACUAAGAAAAUAAAGGGAACAUCUUAAUCUGAAAGGAGUACAAGUCAAAAUCUCAAAAUUAUAAAACUACUUGAGAUGGUUGAUGUAACAUCCUACAGAAAUUGGUUCAUACAGUUUGAGCGUCAUCAUUUUAACAUCCGCCACAUGUGAAUAUUUCAAAUGUCAUUCAAUUAUUGAAACAGGCUUGGACAAUUUGUCCGAUUGAAACAAAAUUAUGUAUGAUAGUGUUAAAUGAUCGGAAAGAAUAACAAUAAGUAUUUAAUCUGUGUUUGGAUAUAGAGAUUACAUAAGUUAUUAUAACCUGGUCAGUCAGAAGUGGUCAGUACUAUCUAAACCAUGUAAAUCCCCAAGGCAAUAUAAGUAUUUGGAGGGGAAAUUGAUUGAGAUUGUUUACCAUCCAAUGGGAGAAUUUAUUUUGAAAUUAGUGUGUUCUUUGUGAAAUAAUUGUGAAAAUGAAACGGAAAUAUGAUGUUCGAAAACAUGGGAUUGCUUUGCACAAAGUGGUGAGUUUUCUUUUCCUUCAUUAUUUACAUAUGACAUAAUAUAAAUUGCACAUUUUUAACUUGACGUCUAUUUUUUGAAUAUUUAUGGCGUAGAAGUAUGUGCAAUGUGGUUUUCCCUGCGUAAGGAAAUUUCCAUUGAUCUUUUGACUUUUUAAGGAAAUUUGUUAAAAACUUAUAAUUUAUUCUCAAGUCAUUUGAAGAAACUGUACUUCACCUGUUUGAUGGUCUAUGAUGUUUACAUAAACAUUAUGAAAUGUACAUAGAUCAGAGCGCUACAGGGGGUAAUUCAACUUAUACAAACAGUUCCAGGCAAAGUGAUAAUAUCUGGUUUGUAGAGGACUGUUUCAUUAUGAAAAUUAAAUAAUGAAUUUGUAAUGUGAUAUACGUUAUAUUCUAUGACUUCAUGUUGUGGCAGUGGAAAUAAAAAAUUCUUAUGGAAGGAAACGUUGUUUUUUUUGUUGUUGCAUCAGUUCAAACCUACAACGCACUGCCGAAAACAGGUUGAUAUUAAAAACAUGUGUUAAAUACGACAACUAGGAAGAGAUGAAUAAACCUAAAUCCUCUCCACUUGAUAUUGUAUUAUUUUCACAUGAUUUUACGAGCAGUUAACUCGGAAGCAUGUUAAGUUUCUGGUAAUUUGAGAUUAAUGAAAACGAACCUUUAGUUAUUCUGUUUUUUAAAGACAGACCUAUUUCAUCAUAUUCAUUUAUUCAAAUUUCUGCUUUGUUCUUCAUUUCAUUAAACGUAUUCUGUAUUAAACUGGAAAUGAAUACAUGAUAAAAUCAAUAAUAAUUUACCCUGGACAAACGUGUCAUUAUAGUCCUAUCUGAUAAUAGACCUAUAAAUGAACAACUUAUUAAAUACAGAGUGAUUAUAAAAUCUGUGAUCAUAUUAUACAGAUGAUAAUUCUCAGAAUUGGUUAAGAAUGUAAUAAUUGUAAAAGUAAUUUGUUGUAAAGUUACGCCUUUUAGAGAUAACGACUUUGAACAAAUUUAAUUUUGACAUUUUUCACAUCAAAUAAUCAAAAAUAUUGUUCCUCGUCUAUCAGUUUUAUUUAUUUUUUUCAUAAAGGCAUUGAAUUUAAUUUCCAGCUUGUUCGAUUGCAUUGCAACAAAACGUGAGAAUAAUAUUUAAUUUGACAAGAAAUGUUGUCUCAAUCUAUAUAUUUACAUUUAGCCAAAGCUUUCACGAGGCCAAAACCUUGGUUGACAUUUGCAAAUGAAAUUUUGCCAAAUAAUCAAUCAAAUUUUCGUUUCCAUACACUUGAUAAGCAGCGAUCCGCUAUACAAUUACACGAUGUGACUGCUUAAGCGAACAAGGUUCAGAGAAGAUUGCUCAAACAUAGCUUACUGAAGAAAUGAACAUAACGGACCUAAAUGGAACUUCAUUAACUAAAAUGAAACUGGCGAAAGAUCGUUGAUGACCAACUCUUUGUAUUUGGGUUAGUCAUGUCAGCUGUUACGAGUAGCUUGUCAACUAAAUAGAUGCGUUAUUAACAAUUUAUCGAAUCGACUUUUACAAUAAAAGACGAGUUAAGUGUUACUAAAAAGCUACAUUUAAAUGUUCUCUCUAUUAUUUGAUUACGACUAAAUCAUUUCCAUCGCAAAAACUGUGUAGAUUUUAAUAAUCCUCUGAAAUUGUUACAAUUAGUAAAAUACAAAUGAGCAGACGAUUUUUAUCUCGAAAUCGGUUAAUACCUUUAAAGCACAAAUAUAUAAUGUAUGAUGUUAAGGAAAUUGUUUCAUCUUUAUUGGGAUGAAAUAUUUUUUUCUGUCUUUGCUAAGGAAGCAUAAAUGCCAUGAUGCCCGUUGUGAAAUAUGUAGUUAUGUAACACAUUUUGGGGAUAAUAAUAAAUUAUGUUAUAAAUGCAUGUUGAGGAUAAUUGAUCAGUUAAGUGGUUAACUAAAACAACACUAUAUUGUUUAUCUUCCUAUUUAUAACGUAUCCUGGAUGAUAACCCAUGUUUGAAAUUUAGUUACGGUACCUGGGUAAAAGUUAUUCCAAAGUAUGGUUAGCCCAAGGUUGUAUGACCUCUCUAGGUUAAUCAUACCAGCAGGUGCACGAGGUGGAGAUUCCAACUAAAUUUAUCGGAAGUUGUACAGAAAAGCGACAAAUUUAAUCUGGCAAACAUUGUGGUUGUAUUGUAUUGAUGGAUGGGAUGGGUGAUAACGUGAUAAAUUCUGCACCAAUCUGAUUGAUCGACUGUUGUCCAUCGCACUUGUUUGACAAGAUUUCGAUUGAAAAUUUUAGAUUGAAAAUUUCAUAAGCAUAUGUUUUAUCAACUUCAAAUGAUAUAGUAAAAAAAGGUUAAACACUUUCUGUAGAAAAUCAAUAAAAAGUUGUAUGCAAAAACAAUAAUAAGAUUGUAAUUUGACGAAAUGCGCUUUUUGAGACAUUUAAUGAAUAGUCUCUUAAUUAUCGUUUUUUGAAAUCACUUUUUUUAUUAGCAAGAGUCAUCAUAUUGACAAAUUGAGACACAAUUGACAAGGGUUAACAGAUGGCUUUAUGUAUUUUAGUAUGUUUACUAAUGUAUAAACCUCUUCACUACUUCCGUUCUAAGCUAUUACCCAGCAAACUGUAAGUGCUCGUUUAACGAUUUCGUUCUAACCACUGUCUAGAAUGCUGUUUUUACUGCUCCAGUUAAUAUAAAUACAUCCAUCUAUUUUGUAAUUUUGUAAUAUACGUGUUAUGCAAACUGUUUUCAUACAAUUACAGAGAACUUGUUUAAUUUUUUUAUAGCAGAAAUGUAAAAAUUGUCACGCCAAAACAUGUAAUAGAAAACAAGUUUAAAACAUCCUUUCGUGAAAAAAGGACAAUUUAUACAGAAAUACGAAGACAUAUAUAGCAAUGGCUUAACCGAUAUUCAAAACGCUUUGGUAGGAAACACCACGCACAUUCAGAGUUAAAAUAUGGAUUGAUUGAUUGGUGACAUAUAAACGUCCAGUGACAAAUGUCACUGUUUAAGCAUAUUCAGGAUGAGUCUAAACUUUAACAACAAUUCAAUCGGUAAUGUACAAACUCACAAUUUGAAAGUCAACAGAAAGACAUAUAUCUCGGGUUAAACACAUUCAUAUGACUCCAAACCGACCAGUUUUUGCUUUGUCUUCUAAUGCCACACCCUAGCGGAGAAGCAGCAUGUGCCAAUUUUAGAGUGUUUUAAGCAAACCUUUGACAGAACCUACGAACUCCUGCACUUGAACGGUAUGAAGAGAACACCUAGACGGUUUCAAAAGUCGGAAUGUAUGCAAUCAUGUGGAAAAUAUAUUUAAAAUAACAUCGAAAGAAUAGCCAUUACAAUCGAAUUUAAGUUUUUAGUUUAGGACAAAGAAAAUUAGCUUUGCAAAGUAUUGAAUCACUUAUAAGCUGAGAGGCUUACAGCUCACCAGGAGUGCUAUCGACACGUUAAGGACAAAAAGAGCCAAGAUGAUCAACUAAGCCAAGCUUUGUCUAUAUUUUUCUUAAGAACUACUAAAAAUAAUGCAUCAUCAGAGAAUGCAUGAUAUAAAAAAAAUUAUUCGAAAAGCAUUAACCUCUAGGAAGAUUGAUACUCUAGAGGACAAAUAGUCACGAAAUUAACGAAGAUUUGAAAAAAUGUAUCCGGACUUAGCCACACCUAGUUAAAACACGUUAUUUUAAUUAUUUUAUCCAGAUCCUUAAAACGAAUUUGAAAUCCGUUUCCUGAGAUCACGUCAGGAUUUGUAACACUGCUGAAAUUCUGUCGCUCCAUUUCACAAUACAGGCAGAUUUGAAAUAAGAUUAACUCUGUCUUAAAUAAAGUUUCCGCAGAAAACGUCUUUCCAUGAAAAGACAUUUAAACAAUUGUCAUGCGAACAUAUUUCGUUUGCUUAAGAAAAAUAUCUUUGUAUUGAUGUUGACAAGGUUUUUCCAUUAAAUUUAAUUCUGGUGACUACGACUACUGAACCUCGUACCAAAUCCCUUCUAAGUAUUUCCGGUAAAUGUUCGGUAUCAUAGUAACACAUCGACAGGCUUUGUGAUUGACAUUUAAUCCUCUUAGUGAAGGAAAACAUGAAGUUUUCUGUAAACAAAAAAAUAAUCUUAUUCAGUCAGAUUGAUACAAAUAAUAUUUUUGUAUUAUUUAAUAAAUCGCGUUUUCCAAAUGACCUGAGUAACUUGAUUUUAGAUUAUGAAAGAAACCUACGACAUUUCAUCACACAGGUACAAUUAUGUUAGUUACAGGUAAUAGCGGAAAUCAUUUGUAUUUCAUUGUCAUCUUAAAUUGCAAAGGUGUGCACUUAAGGUGGGGCUUACACAUUAUAAAAUCAUUUACAAAAUACUUUGAAUACCUGUGUGCAAAUAUGAACUUUUGACUCCUAUAGGCAGUGUGAGUUUUUUCGUUUUCAAUACGAAAAUUUAAUAUCAAUAAAUAUUUUGUGUAUUAAAUCUUAUCUUGCUACACUGUGAAGUAUACCAUAUCCGAGGAGGCUGUACAUAGGUCACACCAUCCUGAGCGUGAUCAACGUUGUUAAUUGGUCAUAUGGUAAGAGGCCAAAUCAUACGUGUAAUUGCUUAAUCAUUUAUGAAGACACAUCCGUUUCUAUUUUCAGCCAUUAAAGAAAUCUUUAUCUAACAGUGCAGACAACAGCAUAAACCACCAUAAAAAGCAACGACUUUAUAUGGACAGUUCUACACACAGGGCAAUACCAAGAAAAAGAA